Long non-coding RNA from Xenopus laevis (African clawed frog), 1216 nucleotides. RefSeq lists it as uncharacterized. The record is from RefSeq and is a predicted model, not a curated record. Lineage: Eukaryota; Metazoa; Chordata; Amphibia; Anura; Pipidae. The transcript is spliced from 2 exons.
CUGCCCCAUAAUAUCCUUAUAUUUUACAAGAGGGGGUACUUUAUUCACUAUAUAAAAUAUUCCCUUAAACAGUUAGAAAAAGAACAAUAAAUUGGCAGUGAAUAAUCAGAUUUGAGAGGAAAUGAGCUGAGAGCUGAGCCAGUUGAGUCUGACACAUGACUGCAGUUAAUGCUCUCUAAGGCACACCAACCAUAUGAUGGGGAUUUGUGGCUCACUCAAGGGCAUCACCUGACCCAUAAAGGAAUUUUUGCAGUUAGCGUAUGAAAAAAAAGAUUGAAGGAAGUAUGGCAGCCUGGAAAACAUUUUCUUAUGUAGCACCAGUGCAAAAAUGUAAGCUAUUGUACCCGUUUAGUUUGAUGGGUUGUUCUUUCCAGUGUUUUAAAGGAUACUGACACCUUUAACAGUUUGUGCACUUUUAGAAGUGCAAGUUCUAGUACACAGGAACCCCCAUUUGUUUAGUUUCUAACUGUCACUCUAUCAGAGCUGAACAUUAUGCAGCGCAGAACAGGAAAUCCUGUUUUUGACACAAUGUAUAGCACACAAAGGCUGCAUGCAAGUGUCAGUCUCAGAGGGGCUCUCUCUUGUGAACUCUCUACAGUUCUGACAGUCAGAACACUGCCAUGCCCAGACUCUAAUACCAUGUGUCUUUUAGUCCUGAGCAUGACAUAUAAGCAGGGCACCAGAGAAAGCUCUUACCCUAACACUCUGAAGAACACAGAUGCAGGAAAAUGUGACAAGCUCCAGAAAUUGUCUAAGCAGAUGUGCAGUACAAAGCAAGAAUCUCGUCCAAAAGGAAGCUUAGCCGGUUUUACAAACACUGAAGGAGCCUUUAAAAUAAUCGGUUGUCUAGCCAUAAAAAGUUUCAUUGGAAGAUUUCCAUGAACAAAUAAAGCUAGGAAAUGGAAAAGGAAUGAAGACGUAAAGUAAAAGAGUCGAAAAUCAUCACAAUUUCACCAACCAUAUCCUUUUAUUCCCCAGCCGUAUUUAGAAAAUCCAUAGAAACUGCAAAACUUUGGUGCACUAAGACAAGUAUUUAUAUAAAGGGGUGAGAAAAGAACACCACUGUAUACCAGGUAAAAUACAGACGAGAGGAACAGUUUUUGGAUAUUGAUAUCAGUUGAAAACCCAAAUCAAAAAAAUGAAGCACCUAUAUAUAAAUCAACGAGACGUGCUAAAAAUAUAUUUUAGAUUUGUACAAAUAAAUGGAACAAUGCCA